RNAcentral lists this ribosomal RNA (966 nucleotides) under Microbacterium sp. Its description in RNAcentral is "bacterial SSU rRNA". Lineage: Bacteria; Bacillati; Actinomycetota; Actinomycetes; Micrococcales; Microbacteriaceae. The record is from RNAcentral.
CAGUGGCGAACGGGUGAGUAACACGUGAGCAACCUGCCCCUGACUCUGGGAUAAGCGCUGGAAACGGCGUCUAAUACUGGAUAUGUGACGUGACCGCAUGGUCUGCGUCUGGAAAGAAUUUCGGUUGGGGAUGGGCUCGCGGCCUAUCAGCUUGUUGGUGAGGUAAUGGCUCACCAAGGCGUCGACGGGUAGCCGGCCUGAGAGGGUGACCGGCCACACUGGGACUGAGACACGGCCCAGACUCCUACGGGAGGCAGCAGUGGGGAAUAUUGCACAAUGGGCGAAAGCCUGAUGCAGCAACGCCGCGUGAGGGAUGACGGCCUUCGGGUUGUAAACCUCUUUUAGCAGGGAAGAAGCGAAAGUGACGGUACCUGCAGAAAAAGCGCCGGCUAACUACGUGCCAGCAGCCGCGGUAAUACGUAGGGCGCAAGCGUUAUCCGGAAUUAUUGGGCGUAAAGAGCUCGUAGGCGGUUUGUCGCGUCUGCUGUGAAAUCCGGAGGCUCAACCUCCGGCCUGCAGUGGGUACGGGCAGACUAGAGUGCGGUAGGGGAGAUUGGAAUUCCUGGUGUAGCGGUGGAAUGCGCAGAUAUCAGGAGGAACACCGAUGGCGAAGGCAGAUCUCUGGGCCGUAACUGACGCUGAGGAGCGAAAGGGUGGGGAGCAAACAGGCUUAGAUACCCUGGUAGUCCACCCCGUAAACGUUGGGAACUAGUUGUGGGGUCCAUUCCACGGGAUUCCGUGACGCAGCUAACGCAUUAAGUUCCCCGCCUGGGGGAGUACGGCCGCAAGGCUAAAACUCAAAGGAAUUGACGGGGACCCGCACAAGCGGCGGAGCAUGCGGAUUAAUUCGGAUGCAACGCGAAGAAYCCUUACCAAGGCUGGACAUAUACGAGAACGGGSCCAGAAAUGGUCAACUYCUUUUGGACACCUCGUAAACAGUGGGUGGCAUGGUGGUCGUCAGCUCGG